This 751-nucleotide ribosomal RNA is filed under the name uncultured Actinomyces sp. RNAcentral describes it as "bacterial SSU rRNA". It matches the Rfam family "Bacterial small subunit ribosomal RNA", at positions 28 to 776 of the family's 1533-position model. Lineage: Bacteria; Bacillati; Actinomycetota; Actinomycetes; Actinomycetales; Actinomycetaceae. The record is from RNAcentral.
GACGAACGCUGGCGGCGUGCUUAACACAUGCAAGUCGAACGCUGAAGCCCAGCUUGCUGGGUGGAUGAGUGGCGAACGGGUGAGUAACACGUGAGUAACCUGCCCCCUUCUUUGGGAUAACGCCCGGAAACGGGUGCUAAUACCGGAUAUUCGCUGAUCUUCGCAUGGGGGUUGGUGGAAAGGUUUUUUCUGGUAGGGGAUGGGCUCGCGGCCUAUCAGCUUGUUGGUGGGGUGAUGGCCUACCAAGGCUUUGACGGGUAGCCGGCCUGAGAGGGUGACCGGUCACAUUGGGACUGAGAUACGGCCCAGACUCCUACGGGAGGCAGCAGUGGGGAAUAUUGCACAAUGGGCGAAAGCCUGAUGCAGCGACGCCGCGUGAGGGAUGACGGCCUUCGGGUUGUAAACCUCUUUCGCUCAUGGUCAAGCCGCAGCUUUGGGUUGUGGUGAGGGUAGUGGGUAAAGAAGCGCCGGCUAACUACGUGCCAGCAGCCGCGGUAAUACGUAGGGCGCGAGCGUUGUCCGGAAUUAUUGGGCGUAAAGGGCUUGUAGGCGGUUGGUCGCGUCUGCCGUGAAAUCCUCUGGCUUAACUGGGGGCGUGCGGUGGGUACGGGCUGACUUGAGUGCGGUAGGGGAGACUGGAACUCCUGGUGUAGCGGUGGAAUGCGCAGAUAUCAGGAAGAACACCGGUGGCGAAGGCGGGUCUCUGGGCCGUUACUGACGCUGAGGAGCGAAAGCGUGGGGAGCGAACAGG